AAAAGCAAUUGUGGUUGGCAUGAAACCAUUUAUCUGCAGCAUCUAUCACUUGUUCACAGAUGGGAAAAUGUGUGCCUUUGAAGUGUUCCUAAAGGUUAGGAAAAAGAUGCUAAUCACAGGGUCUGGCAAGUAAGGGAGAUAUUGCACCUAGUCAAAGAUGACGUCAACCAGUUUUCUGCUUCGUGAUGGAGGCUUUGUGCAGCAGUGCAUCAUCAUGCAGAAGUAACAGCCUAGCUUGGCAAUUGUCCUCAAGGCUUCUUGUCAGAUCCUGCCUGACUCUGUCAAACAGUGAUGAAUAAUGAACUGCUUUGUGUGUUAUCAUCUUCCAGAUGGUCCAUGAAAACAUUUCCAUCCUUGUCCCAAAACGCGGAUGUAAUCACCUUUUCAGUGGAUAUUUGCUCUAGGAAUUGCUUUGGACGAGGGGAACCCAAAUGUUUCCACUCUUUCGACUGUUUGGUCUUGAAAUUGUACAAAUAUAACCGUGUCUGAUCCAUUAUGAGCAGCCUACACUAACAUUGCCUUUAUCAUCUUCAAAAUGGUGGAGAAUGGCCUGAGUUGACAUGCGUUCAUAUGUUUCUGGUCAGCACUGAGGCAUUUGGGGAUCACUUGGUUGUAACCAUCAUGUCCAGCACAUCAGUGAAUAUCUAGCCUAUGCGCUGUCGUGACAAAUUAAGGGCCACUACUAUGUGUUUAGCUGAGGUCCUUCUGUUUUCCGAAACCAUUUCAUGAACAGGGUCCAUAUUUGCCCCAGAGGUCGCUUUCACAAGUCUCGCAGGACAUUCUUCAUCUUCUAUGCUGAUGUGGCCUGUACAAAAUAUAGCCACCCAUCUUUUUUUACUAUAGCAUAUGUUGCUCAGUCUCAAAAAUCUCCUUUGCAGAAUUUCCUCUUGCUUAGAGAAAUUUGAUCACUGGCACUCUUUACGAGUAAAAUGCACCGUGAUUAACACCAUCUUCUUUUCAGAAGUGAAAAGUUAAGAAAAAAAUGGCUUAAAGGGUAAAAUUUGCAAUAAUAUUAUGCAAGAUAAUAUAUAUUUUAAUGUAACACUGAAAUUUUUUUAUUAGACAAGGGGAUAAUGGUAAGGCUCAUGAUUUAUCAAAUCUCCCUCGUAUAUCUGUUAUCUUUAUAUUUCUUCUUUUGUCAUCUAUGCUUCAUUCUUAUGGGGGGGGGGGAAGGGGCAUCAUUUUUUACAGGUUUUUUCCUUGGUACAUUAUUGUUAAGGGAUACUGAAUUCUCAAGUCAGAAAACACUUGUGUGCACAAACAAUGUAAAAAGCUGGCUAAGGUAGAAAGCUUUCUUGUGUGUUUUAUUGAUAGUAGAUGCACUGUUAAGUUUUCAAGGAAAAGGUAAAUGCUUGCUCCUUGCUGCUUCAGCGUAGUACUCUCAAUUCUGUCUCGAGCAUUUUCAACAUGAAUGCCAUGUUGCCAAGAGCCUAACAGUGAAUUGUCACACAAAUGCCAGCAUGUGUGCAGCUGAUUGUAGCAACUGUGGAACUGAGAGCUCUGCACAAGGAUGUGAAAGUUGUGCCAGAAUUUUAUAGAGAAUGUUAAAAAAGAUUACCAGUUUCAUGACGAUGUGAAGGUGACAAGCGGCAACCUAUCACUCCUUGCCACUUUCAACUAUUUUCUCAUCUUUUUCUCUCAUACCAUAAAUAAAAUACAGAAAGCACAAUGAAAUGCUUUAUAUUUACA
Molecule: long non-coding RNA, 1689 nt
Filed under: Dermacentor andersoni
Lineage: Eukaryota; Metazoa; Arthropoda; Arachnida; Ixodida; Ixodidae
Description: uncharacterized LOC126548134
Source: RNAcentral